Molecule: ribosomal RNA, 545 nt
Filed under: uncultured archaeon
Lineage: Archaea
Description: bacterial SSU rRNA
Rfam family: Archaeal small subunit ribosomal RNA
Source: RNAcentral
ACGGGGCGCAGCAGGCGCGAAAACUGCACAAUGUGGGAAACCACGAUGCGGGAAACCCAAGUGCCAGCACUAAGUGUUGGCUAUCCUCAAGCGUUCGUUGCUUGGGAAGAAAGUGCUGGGUAAGACGGGUGCCAGCCGCCGCGGUAAUACCCGCAGCACAAGUGGUGGUCAUUAUUAUUGGGCCUAAAGCGUCCGUAGCUGGCCUGCUAGAUGCCUGGGUAAAUCGAUGCGCUUAACGUAUCGAAUUCCGGGUAGACCGGCAGGCUCGAGACCGGGAGAGGUGUGGGCUACUCGAGGGGUAGGGGUAAAAUCCUGUAAUCCUUCGGGGAGGACCAGUGGCGAAGGCGCCACACUUAAACGGCUCUGACAGUGAGGGACGAAGCCCUGGGGCGCAAACCGGAUUAGAUACCCGGGUAGUCCAGGGUGUAAACGCUGCAGACUUGGUGUCGGAGAUCCUACGAGGGUCGCCGGUGCCGGAGAGAAGUCGUUGAGUCUGCCGCCUGGGGAGUACGGUCGCAAGACUGAAACUCAAAGGAAUUGACGGA